RNAcentral lists this ribosomal RNA (425 nucleotides) under uncultured bacterium. RNAcentral's name for it is "partial 16S ribosomal RNA". It matches the Rfam family "Bacterial small subunit ribosomal RNA", at positions 354 to 796 of the family's 1533-position model. The record is from RNAcentral.
GUGGGGAAUCUUGCGCAAUGGGCGAAAGCCUGACGCAGCCAUGCCGCGUGAAUGAUGAAGGUCUUAGGAUUGUAAAAUUCUUUCACCGGGGACGAUAAUGACGGUACCCGGAGAAGAAGCUCCGGCUAACUUCGUGCCAGCAGCCGCGGUAAUACGAAGGGGGCUAGCGUUGCUCGGAAUUACUGGGCGUAAAGGGCGCGUAGGCGGACAGCUUAGUCAGAGGUGAAAGCCCAGGGCUCAACCUUGGAAUUGCCUUUGAUACUGACUGUCUUGAGUUUGGGAGAGGUGAGUGGAACUCCGAGUGUAGAGGUGAAAUUCGUAGAUAUUCGGAAGAACACCAGUGGCGAAGGCGACUACCUGGACUGAUACUGACACUGAGGUGCGAAAGCGUGGGGAGCAAACAGGAUUAGAAACCCGAGUAGUCC